Molecule: long non-coding RNA, 3758 nt
Organism: Chinchilla lanigera (long-tailed chinchilla)
Lineage: Eukaryota; Metazoa; Chordata; Mammalia; Rodentia; Chinchillidae
Source: Ensembl
UUAGGGAUGAGAGAGGAUCAGACGGGAAUAAGAACAUAUAUAUAUAUGGCAACAGCCAGGAAAGACUGUGCUCCCUGGGGGCUGGGGAAACGCGGUGGAGAGGUCAGAGCACAAGUGGAGUCCAGGACUUUUCUGGUGCUGCGUAACACAAUCACCUAAGGGGGACAACUGCUUCACCGCAUUCUCAAAAUAAACCAGGACUUCUGGCUUCUACUCCCAUUGUUCCCAGUGACACAGUGCAAGGCCCAUUUCUCAGGGAAAAUGAAUUUCCACUUUGGGUCUUCUAGGAUGGGUACUCUCAGUUUUUAUUUUCCCACCACUCAUCACCUCUUCGUAGGGGUAAGAAGAUUCUACUCCAGAUCUCUCACCUGUGCUCCCAAGACCCGGAUAUAAAUAACACUAACGCCAAUUUUAAACGAAGUCUAACAACGUUGCUUUUCCUUUUAGUCACAGAUGAAGAAGCAGCCAAUCCUGAAAGGUACAGAUGCGUUGUUUGUCUGGUCCUAGGAAGCAUCUUGUGUACUUUUCUUAAUAUUAGUUUUUGAAGGACUUAGGUUGCAGGGGAAGAGGAGGCGGCCUGGAACCCCUACGUGGUGGUUUCUACUCGGUUUGCAUUCUGCGCAUGCGUCAUAAAAGCCGCUGAGCACUGUGUCUGAGAGAACGCAGUGUCAGAGGAGGUGGGCUCUUGUGACUGAGCCGCAGAACAAGGCACUCGUGGUGCAUGACCUCACAAGGUUACUGAUAAUUCCUAGUCCAGCGGCCACAUGUUUUGUGCCUGCCUUUUAUGGAGUUAAAAUGAAAAGGGAAAGUGGUAUGAUACUGUUUUUCUGGAAUUCAUGCGGUAAAACCACUUGCACAAAUCUCCUUUCCCAUGUGGGUAGGGACGAUCGUUUCAGAGGUCCUGUCCUUAGACACAGACCUACCUCACAACUAGGCGGUAAGGUGUCCUCCAGCCAUAGGGAUACAUCUAUCGCACUGUUUAGAGUCGCUUAUGAAACAACACUCCUCGAUGAGGCGUGGAGAUAUUAUCACCGAGAGCCAUCAGCACUUGAGCUGAUAUCGCUGGGAAGGCGGCGCUGGCGUGGGCGGGCUCACAGGGCCCGUCACCCUGUCACCCUGGCGUGUCUGCUGCCCACUCCCAUAGUUGCACAGAGGCAAUCAAAGCCACAGGCCACAGCUAGACUAAUCCCUCCCACCGAUCGGAUGGGACCCUCACUCUGCAGUUGGAGUGCGCCGCCGGGCCUGCGGGGACACACAGUUCUCAGCGCGGCCGCCGCAGAGCGAGCUUCUGCCUGAGAACUCCCAACUGCUCUGUGGUGCAAAACAUCAGUAAAUGGGAACUGAUUUUUGGUUCAGGGCUUGACACGGUCUGCUGAGUAACCCCCGUGCAGUGACAGUACAGACAAGCCUUUGCUUCCCUGUCCACCAGCAGAAGGUGGGCUUUCCGCAGCUGGGGUCUCUGCUCUGUUCUGGUGAGCCCUGAGCGCAGCAGCGAACUCAGCGGCUCUCUGACCGGAGAGAAGCAGCAGCACACGGCGCGUAACCGUGACGCUGUCCCUCCCAGAGUGGGAGCAGCCCCGAGGAGUACCGAGUCCACGGAUGCGAGCCCCAAAGUGCCACAGGUGCCGAAGCGCAGAGGAGAGGACACCUCCGCCGCGCAGGGCCCUGGGACGCGUCACCCUCAGUGCGCAUCCUGGCUCCCAGGCCGGUAACCGCCCACCAGCUGCCCCUCCUCACCCUGCAGAGGACGAGCGCGGCUGACUCCCUGGGUUCCCAGGCAGUGCCUGUGUCCAGAAGGGCAAGUGUUAAAUCUAGGAUUGGCUCUCAAGCAGAGACAGAUUGUCCUUGUUUUAAGACAACUAUGUACUGAUGGAGAUUCUAGGUAGCCAGUACGGGGUGAGGGGGGACAAAAGGCUUUGGUAUUAGGAGCAGAUUUCCUAAUCGUUAAAGUCAGGGAUGGGGCAGGUCCUUUGUGACAGCUGAAAAUAUAUCCCCCUCCUCCCUCCCUAUAAAUCCUCGCCGACUGGCCUUUGGACCCUUUUAGGGUCUGCUUCUAUAGCUGAUGGCAUAAUCUCUUUUCCUGGAUGCUAAGUGCAGGUCAUGGAGGAACCAAAACUCCAAUUAACAGCAGGGCCUAUUGUCCCAACAGGGUGCUGUGUAGGGGAAAGAAAAGCCUGGCUCCUCCUCAGGAAGCGUGAGGGUGCAGGCUCACACUGAGAAAAGAAGCGAGGAAAGCACCCCAGCCACACUCACAGGGGGAAGCCAGACUCAUGAGUCCAACCUGGAAGGCAACUUUUAAUCUGUGCUAGGCAGAAAGGAUGCCCAAGGCCAGGGUGGUCUGUUUGACUCUAGGAUGAUAAUAUUACUGAACAGAAAAAAGACAAGCAGAGCUGUGCAUGACGUGGUGGCGCACACCUGGAAUUCCAGCACAUGGGAGCUUGAGGUAGGAGGAUUGCCAUGAGUUCAAGGUCAGCCCACGCUACACAGUGAGUUCAGUGCCACUCUGAACUACGAAGUGAGCCCCUGUCUCACACACAAAAAAAUCAGUAUAUCAGCAGUAUCUGACUGGGUAAUGGGAUAAGAUAAAAUAUAGUUUUUUCGUUUCCCUUUCUGAAUAUCUGCACUGACUAAAUUUUGAUUACAACUACUUAGGCUGAGUCCUGAAGUACCAUCAGGGGGACAGAAGAGGAAGGCAACUGCAGGCAGAGGGGAAUAUGCAGAAAAUCAGUGCAGGGCGUUUUGGAGCUUGCAGGCCGGGCUGGCAGAGAGGUGGCAGAGAGGUGGGGGUGGGGGUGGGGGGAGCCAGGCCCAGGGAGGCCGGCUGAUCACGCUGGGAACCAGAAGUGUGUGAGGCUCCUUGGUCUCCUCAGCAGACUGUAUUCUCCAGGAGACCUCAGAGGCCAGUCAUCCCUUCCCCGCACAACUGAGUUAUCUGGAGAGCAGCAAACACCAGGUACUGGUCUUCACUCUGAGCCAGUCAAGCCCAAGGCCCAAUCUGAUGACCCCAGACACAAAUGUGAUGGGUGCUUUCAAAAUGACCAAGUGCACUUUCGUUUCAAGCUGUCAAUGGAUGAAUAUCCAGAAUUCAAACUGUAUACGUGGGUGAUUGUGUGAGAAAAGUCAUUGCUGCGCCUGUGCUGGACAACUUGUCUACCCAGAAAUAAACCUGAAAUAUGCAAGUAUUUAUCAAUGGUCCUUUAAAAUUAUCUGGGUCUCGUUGCCUUUUACCCCCCAUCCCCUUUUCAAACUGAUAAGCAUUUCAUUGUGCUUCUGGUUCAACACCAAGGAGCACUGAAGAAACAAGGUGACUUUUCUAAGCUCCUGUGCUGGUUUCUUGGAAAGAGCGGGGAAGGAAUGCUAAGGAGAUAGGGAGAAAGCUGAAAAAGAGCGGGACACUCUGCAGCCGGCCCCCUCUGCUUUUCACCUUAGGUCCUUUUCCUCCCCCAUUCACAGCUUUCGGCCCUUUAUUUCUUUAACUCCACCACAAUCACACGGAGCUCAAUGGAGGAGGGAUGUGAGCGCAGAGGGAGCUGUCCGCUCAGUGCACAUGUGUGGUCCUCCCCUGUCCAGCGCAGCGGCCUCUGCGCCUUCCGUGCUCCCAGCGCCCUGGAGGCCAGCACCUUGCUCACAACAAGCUCGACACCCUGUGAGUCACACUUGCUGCCUCUUUUCAGGAGCCUAUAGCAAUGUCUCAAGUGGCUCUUCGUCUCUGCUGGCCUCACCACUGGAGCUGCUGAGACAGACAUGGCCUGGCAUGC